This is a long non-coding RNA of Athalia rosae (coleseed sawfly), 2988 nucleotides long. RefSeq lists it as uncharacterized. The transcript has 5 exons. The record is from RefSeq and is a predicted model, not a curated record. NCBI's taxonomy places the organism in Eukaryota, Metazoa, Arthropoda, Insecta, Hymenoptera, Athaliidae.
CCUUUUCGCUCUCUCUUUCAUUCGCUUCAUUUCGUUUGUUAAUUAAAUUAUUUUUCUGUAAUUAUGUAUUCCGCUGCGACGUGACGCGGCGGGAAACUCGGCGGUGAACCAGAUGAUUCUAGGGUACAUACAAUGAGUGAUUACAAUAACAACUACGAUAAGAUUUUAUAAAAUAAUGCGUUUUACGUUGGAUUAUUUUACCUCAUUUUUUUUCAACCACCCAAGACCCGUGUACGCGUUGAUUUUAAUUUCAAUUUAUUUCAUUGUCAGCCGAACGCAUCGAAAAUUCGAAAAAUUCUUUACACGCAAGCGCGCGCUCUGCAAUGAAAUUCGAAUGAUUUUGAAAAGCUAGCCUUCCGGGUAGUGCAGCCACAAUAGUCUGCAGUUCAAAUAUUAUUUACGCCGAUAGAAGUUCGCCUUGGAUGCCCAUUUCUGUCGGUGUAAAAUAUUACGUAAAAAAUUUAAAAUAAAUAAAAAAAUCAUCUUCGCUUUUUGUUAGUUAUAUACGUAAUCUUAUUCCGUAUGGUUUACUACAAUACGUACUCCUGUUUGUUAUUGAAAUUUAUUCAGUCCCCCGUUAUAAUACCGAUAUACGAUCAAGAUUUUGAUUAUUUUUUUCAACCGUCGAACUCACAACCGAUAUGCAAAUGGAAAAGAACAAAAUUAUUCGUCCAUCUAGAGUCAUUCGCUGGGGGGAAAAAAGCACAAUUGGUAAACGAAAGAGUUCAUGUGCAUAAAUUAAUUAAUACACAUAACCGUAUAGUUAUGUCAGAAAUAAUUAGCGAUUAAGGAAUACGGUAUAUAAACAACAAUCGGUGAAAAAAUCGUUGAUAUUACCUAGAUUUCAGAUUUUACAAAUUUUUUUCAUAGCCGUAUAGGGAAACCUUGACACAAUUUUACGGUUAUCUCUAUUCAGAAAAGAAGAAUAGAUGAAAAAAAUGAUGGUAUAUACGAUAUAGCUAAUAAUAUAAUCAUGAUAAGAAAGUUGACGGUGUAAUCGCCAUUUCGGGUACAAUAUAUUAUGUCGAAUGAGAUCGAAAUUUUGAAGGAAAAAAAAAAAAAAACAACAACAAAAAACAGGUGCGAUCAGAUACGCGUUGAUUGUCUUGAGUAAUCGAGAUGUUAAUCCAUUGUGAAAAUUGAUAAUCGAUAAAAUUCUUUUAUCUCGGACCCCCUGCGAGGAUGAUGACUCAAAGAAAAAAAGUAAAGAAAUUAUGACGUGCCCGUACACCUCGAUAUUUGUUAAAAAAAAAAAAUGGGGAUGAAAUGGGGAUGCGGGUGAGAAAAGGCGAGAACAAUAUUUACCCAUUAUUGUUUAUCGCAAAGGAAUGAAAAAAAUAUUUGAAAUAAAGGAGAAAAGAUCACAACCUCUUACAGCAUAGAUAUAAUGCAUCCGUAUAUGUAUACGUGUAGUAAAGAUCAUGUUGUGUAAAACGAUUGAUUUUAAUUACAAACGAUCCACGUGCGUAUUGGUUUGUUGAUAGAGCGAUAAGAACGUAAACACUUUGAUUAAAAAAAUUAUCAUUUUUACAACGAUUGUUUGUACCGGAAAAUGGGCGGGGUUUGUGAAAAAUUUACGAUGACGUUCGAAACGAUAUCCAUGUGCAGAAUCGUAGAUGAGUAAAUUAAACUUGUCGCAUCGAGUGUGAGAGAAAAAAAAAAAAAUAAAUGAGAAAGAAAACAGAACGAACCUACACACAUAAUUAGACGCUGUUACCUCGGGGCAGUGACGAUCUGGCCGAUCCGUUACUCCGAUUUAUCUGAUCCGCGGUAUCGGAUGGAAUAUUUAUCACAGACGGAAGGGGUUGGAAUGUGAAUUCCCUGGCUCUGUAGACUUCGACGAACGGCAGGUCGUACUGGGGGUAAUACCGUGUCACGUGUUAUCCUUUCGAGAGAGAGAGAGAGAAAGGGAAAGGAAGAUGGAAAAAAAAGGGACAAAACUGGGGGAAUAUGAGGUAACACAACCGGACGUUAAUCGCAGGAGAUUUUCCCGAUUAAAAUAGUUCCUUAAAAACUGCACCACAUAGCGUCAACGGAUCGAUGUGACACCCGGAGUUAUAAUAUAGCAUAAAGAGAACGCGUUGCGUACUGAAAUACACCAAAGACAUGGACUAGACUUUACGAUCCACUUCUGGCUGGCUGCGCCUGCCGACUGAGGUUCGUUCGAACGGUUCACGUUUGCUAACAAUUCUCCGAGACACGGUGGGAGGAUGGUUUUGUUUGGCUUUUUCCUACCUAGUUCCUAUACUCUAAUGAACGUUACUCGGUAUUAUUUUAAAAUAAUUCCAACAGCGGUUGUGACCCAGCAGACAGAACGCAUCGUCUAUCCGCAUGAACUGCUCGAUUGGUACGACAGGAAGCUUUGUGGAGUGACAUUUUUUUGCUCGCUUUGCCGUUUAAUCAAUACGCCUGGCUUAUCAACCAUCAAACCGUAGUAGUCGUCGAUGGAGACGAGGUACAUCGAUCAUUGGUAGACCAACAUCGGUACUGGAUACUGCAGCUCUCCUUUUUGGCUACUCCGUCCAGCGACCUUUUGCUCCCUUUUUCUUCAUCUCCUCUCCUUUUUUUCACCCUUUUACACCCGACCCGCGCCUCUGCUCACCUCGCUCGACGAAACUUUGACGAGAUUUUGGCCAGGGGCCACUCGUAGAAUGACGAUGAUGAUAUGAUAAAAUACAGCAAUGAUCUAACGAAGGUUCAUUACCAUUACCUAUUUUUUCGUGGCUGCACAGAGUAAAACGUAAAUUUUACUUGCGGCCCGAUGGCGCUUGAGCAGCAAGGGCGGCGGCGUAGGAGGCAGAAUGUUCUGGAAAUGCGUUCGAUGCUUGAAUCGGCAGACGUCCCAAGGUGAAAAAUGUAGAACCGAAAGUUUGUAGUCUUCGCAAUUGGUACGUACCGAUGAAAGAAAUCAAAAAAACAAAAAUUAAACACAAUAAAUAAAUGAGAUUUUUCACAAAAAUCGAAGGCAAAUCAGACAUGUUUUUGAAG